This 127-nucleotide small RNA is filed under the name Marmota monax (woodchuck). Lineage: Eukaryota; Metazoa; Chordata; Mammalia; Rodentia; Sciuridae. The record is from RNAcentral.
GCCUGGAGUGGUGCUGCACAUCUGUAAUCCCAGCUUCUGGGGAGGCUGAGGCAGAAGGAUUGCAAGUUCAAAGCCAGCCUCAGCAACUUGGAGAGGCCCUGAACAACUCAGCAAGACCCUGUCUCUA